ACUCCUACGGGAGGCAGCAGCGGGGAAUAUUGCACAAUGGGCGCAAGCCUGAUGCAGCCAUGCCGCGUGUAUGAAGAAGGCCUUCGGGUUGUAAAGUACUUUCAGCGGGGAGGAAGGUGUUGUGGUUAAUAACCGCAGCAAUUGUCGUUACCCGCAGAAGAAGCACCGGCUAACUCCGUGCCAGCAGCCGCGGUAAU
RNAcentral lists this ribosomal RNA (197 nucleotides) under uncultured bacterium. RNAcentral describes it as "partial 16S ribosomal RNA". It matches the Rfam family "Bacterial small subunit ribosomal RNA", at positions 335 to 524 of the family's 1533-position model. The record is from RNAcentral.